Molecule: ribosomal RNA, 433 nt
Filed under: uncultured bacterium
Lineage: Bacteria
Description: partial 16S ribosomal RNA
Rfam family: Bacterial small subunit ribosomal RNA
Source: RNAcentral
AACGAACGCUGGCGGCAGGCCUAACACAUGCAAGUCGAGCGGACCUUUCGGGGUCAGCGGCGGACGGGUGAGUAACGCGUGGGAAUAUGCCCUUCUCUACGGAAUAGUCCUGGGAAACUGGGGGUAAUACCGUAUACGCCCUUUGGGGGAAAGAUUUAUCGGGGAAGGAUUAGCCCGCGUUGGAUUAGGUAGUUGGUGGGGUAAUGGCCUACCAAGCCGACGAUCCAUAGCUGGUUUGAGAGGAUGAUCAGCCACACUGGGACUGAGACACGGCCCAGACUCCUACGGGAGGCAGCAGUGGGGAAUCUUAGACAAUGGGGGCAACCCUGAUCUAGCCAUGCCGCGUGAGUGAUGAAGGCCUUAGGGUUGUAAAGCUCUUUCAGCUGGGAAGAUAAUGACGGUACCAGCAGAAGAAGCCCCAGCUAACUCCGUG